This 71-nucleotide transfer RNA is filed under the name Phrynosoma platyrhinos (Desert horned lizard). RNAcentral describes it as "tRNA-OTHER". The record is from RNAcentral. Lineage: Eukaryota; Metazoa; Chordata; Lepidosauria; Squamata; Phrynosomatidae.
GCCAGCCUGGUGUAGCGGUUUGAGUGCUGGACUAUAACUCUGGAGACCAGGGUUCAAAUCCCUGCUUGGUG